GAUGAACGCUGGCGGCGUGCUUAACACAUGCAAGUCGAACGAUGAAGCCCAGCUUGCUGGGUGGAUUAGUGGCGAACGGGUGAGUAACACGUGAGUAACCUGCCCUUAACUCUGGGAUAAGCCUGGGGAAACUGGGUCUAAUACCGGAUAGGAGCGUCCACCGCAUGGUGGGUGUUGGAAAGAUUUAUCGGUUUUGGAUGGACUCGCGGCCUAUCAGCUUGUUGGUGAGGUAAUGGCUCACCAAGGCGACGACGGGUAGCCGGCCUGAGAGGGUGACCGGCCACACUGGGACUGAGACACGGCCCAGACUCCUACGGGAGGCAGCAGUGGGGAAUAUUGCACAAUGGGCGCAAGCCUGAUGCAGCGACGCCGCGUGAGGGAUGACGGCCUUCGGGUUGUAAACCUCUUUCAGUAGGGAAGAAGCGAAAGUGACGGUACCUGCAGAAGAAGCACCGGCUAACUACGUG
RNAcentral lists this ribosomal RNA (467 nucleotides) under uncultured bacterium. RNAcentral describes it as "partial 16S ribosomal RNA". It matches the Rfam family "Bacterial small subunit ribosomal RNA", at positions 28 to 507 of the family's 1533-position model. The record is from RNAcentral.